This 240-nucleotide unclassified non-coding RNA is filed under the name Hevea brasiliensis (rubber tree). The record is from RNAcentral. Lineage: Eukaryota; Viridiplantae; Streptophyta; Magnoliopsida; Malpighiales; Euphorbiaceae.
GGGUAAUACAAUCUUCUCUUUUUUAUUCAUGUGUUAUGGACUCAUUUUUUUCCCCUCUGUGCGUGUGUGUGCAUGCGCAUGUGCAAUUAUGUAGACGUGUGUUUAUUUUAUUCUCCUGCUACCUAUCAAUGCUUUACUUAUGGUUUUUUUACAUAUUUAUUUUGCAUUAAGUGAAUCAUCAUGUCUAUUAACUGUACAUCUAUUUGUACUGUUUUUAACAAUUGACUUCAUCUUUGUUUC